UUAUGUUUCUCUUCGUUUUCUUGACCACAAGACAUAUUUACUCAGGAAUUGAUGAUCUACUACUCAAGUAAUUGUUAUGAAUACAAAUAGCAAAUUUUUCGUGCCUCCUACGUAUCUCUGGGCUAAACAGAGAUGGUUAUCAUUUAUUUAUUUAACAAGAUGUUAAAUGUCUACUAUGUGCCAAGCACUGCAUUCCAUCUGUGUGUGCUAGGGGUUUGUUAGUGUGCCUAUCUUCAGGUUAUGUGAAAGAGUACUGGAUUACAUGCUAAAAGAACCAAAGUCAACUACUGCCUCUCUGACAUACAUGCAGACUUCCCUUGUUCAUUUCUGGACCUCAAUUUCCUCAUCUACAAUAUGAAGAUAAUAAUCUCUGAUCUGACUACAUUGCAAGAUUAUUAUGAAGAUUAAAUAAGUACUUCACCCAGGCUCAUUUCAUUCUUCUACACCUAUUCCAAUGGAAUUGCAAGAGUUAUUGUCCCCCUGGACUUCCGAAGUGGAAAGAAUAGGAGAAAAUGUAAGGAAGCUGCUCUUUGAUCUCCGUGUACAUCAAUUACAGGAUUAUUGAGUGCUUGAUUUGUGCCUGACAGUGAAGAAAACAGGCAAAAACUCCUGCCCUCGUGGAGCUGAUAUUCUGAUGAGGAGACGCACACAAUUAACAAGCAAAUAAUUGAAUAGCCAGCAUGCCAGAUGUUGGUAAGAGUAACACCUAGACUGAUGUUCGACCAAAUAUCUGCCUGCCAUGACCUAGCUAAGCUUAUACAAAAGUAACCAUCACAUCUGGGUAAAGAAACCAGAAGAAGGGAAAGAAAAGAAAGAGGACAAAGGCAGACAGCUGCAGUGCAAUGUGGGAUUCAGAAAAGAAAUGCAUACUCCUCUUCCCUCAAGGAGUCUACAGUCUGUUAGGAGGAACAGACAAGCUGGCAGAAAAG
This 929-nucleotide long non-coding RNA is filed under the name Homo sapiens (human). RNAcentral's name for it is "HSALNT0203558". The record is from RNAcentral. Lineage: Eukaryota; Metazoa; Chordata; Mammalia; Primates; Hominidae.